Molecule: ribosomal RNA, 39 nt
Filed under: Pezicula carpinea
Lineage: Eukaryota; Fungi; Ascomycota; Leotiomycetes; Helotiales; Dermateaceae
Also listed under: 11 other names
Description: partial 18S ribosomal RNA
Source: RNAcentral
UCGUAACAAGGUCUCCGUAGGUGAACCUGCGGAGGGAUC